Molecule: non-coding RNA, 204 nt
Filed under: Oceanobacillus oncorhynchi
Lineage: Bacteria; Bacillati; Bacillota; Bacilli; Caryophanales; Bacillaceae
Description: T-box
Rfam family: T-box leader
About the family: Uncharged tRNA acts as the effector for transcription antitermination of genes in the T-box leader family.
Source: RNAcentral
UAGAACACGUUGAAGGUAUUAAGUACAUGACAUGAUAUUUCAAGAGAGGGACUCCCCCGGCUGAAAGGAAUCCUAAUUAUACUGUUAUGGAAAGCUACACUGGAGUACGGCUAAUCCCCGUCGGUAUCAUACCGUUAUAAUGAUGAAAGUGAUGAACAUGGAUUGUUCAUAAUAAGGGUGGUACCGCGAAAUCUCGUCCCUGCA